Molecule: ribosomal RNA, 549 nt
Filed under: uncultured bacterium
Lineage: Bacteria
Description: bacterial SSU rRNA
Rfam family: Bacterial small subunit ribosomal RNA
Source: RNAcentral
UGGGGANNCUUCCGCAAUGGGCGAAAGCCUGACGGAGCAACGCCGCGUGAGUGAAGAAGGAUUUCGGUUCGUAAAGCUCUGUUGUUAGGGAAGAAUGAUUGUGUAGUAACUAUACACAGUAGAGACGGUACCUAACCAGAAAGCCACGGCUAACUACGUGCCAGCAGCCGCGGUAAUACGUAGGUGGCAAGCGUUGUCCGGAAUUAUUGGGCGUAAAGCGCGCGCAGGUGGUUUAAUAAGUCUGAUGUGAAAGUCCACGGCUCAACCGUGGAGGGUCAUUGGAAACUGUUAAACUUGAGUGCAGGAGAGAAAAGUGGAAUUCCUAGUGUAGCGGUGAAAUGCGUAGAGAUUAGGAGGAACACCAGUGGCGAAGGCGGCUUUUUGGCCUGUAACUGACACUGAGGCGCGAAAGCGUGGGGAGCAAACAGGAUUAGAUACCCUGGUAGUCCACGCCGUNNCGAUGAGUGCUAAGUGUUGGUCUCAUAAGAGAUCAGUGCUGCAGCUAACGCAUUAANCACUCCGCCUGGGGGAGUACNACCGCAAGGNUGA